Molecule: long non-coding RNA, 2033 nt
Filed under: Eucalyptus grandis
Lineage: Eukaryota; Viridiplantae; Streptophyta; Magnoliopsida; Myrtales; Myrtaceae
Description: long non-coding RNA (EGRA_LNC000398)
Source: RNAcentral
CCACCUCCGGCCACCGCCCAGCCCCGCCGGACCUCCCCCGCGUCCCCCUCGCCCUCCGCCGGCUUCCCCUCGCCGCCCUAGCCGCCGGAGCAGCCCCGAUCAGCCCCGUCCAGCAAACCCGCGAGUGGGUUUCCAGCUGGUUCAAGGCCGUUUUGGGCCGUUUCCGGGCCUCGGAUCCGUGAGUCGCUUUGGGAACAAUUGUUCCUCGUGUCGCCGCCGUCGGAUUGAUCCGAUUUGCGCGCGAUUUGGUGAGUAAUCUCACUAAUCCUGGAUUAGUUGGCUAAUUAUGCUUAAGGUUAGUUUAGAUUUAAUUAAUUAUAUUUAUGUUGUUAGAUUAGAAUAAAUUAGCAAUUAUUAGUCAAUUGUGAUGCGAUUUAGAUAAAUUGAUUGCGCAAUUAGCAAGUAGACGUGGUCUACUAAUUAUUGGAAGUGCCUCGGGAUUUUUCCCGACCCUUAGUGGGCUCCAAUUAGGCUUUUCGGGCUUCAGUGGAUUUUUUAGUAUUUAAUUAUUAAUUUUCGGAAUUAAAUUAUUAAUUUUCGGAAUUAAAUUAAAUAAUUAUUUAUUUUUUGAAAAUUUAACUGAGAUGGCCCGGGACCGGAAUAUUGUGCUGAUGACCGUGGUGAAGUCCGUUUAUUUAAUCGGGCUUUAUUUUGAGCUAAAUUGAAUUUUUAAUAUUAAUUAUUUAAUUUUCGAAAUUAAUUAUUUAAUUAAUUAUUUUUCAGAAAUUAAGAUUUUGAUGGCCGACGAUCGAAAUCUCGUGCUGAUUGUCGUGGCGUAGUCCGUUUAUUUAUUUGAGCUCUACGUUGUAUGGAAUUGAAUAAAUUGUGAUAUUUUAGGGAUUUACCCUAAAUUGAUUGGAAUCGAUUGAGAUUGAAUUAUUGAUUAGAAUCGAUUGAGAUUGAAUUAUUGAUUGGUGAUUGGCCAAGUAUGUUAUUCAGCAUUUAUAAUGCUUUGUUGAGUUGAUUUAAUUAUUUGAUUGAGAAAUCGUUGGGCAUUGGUUGUCGGUAUUGAAAGAAGAUUGGUAACCACUUGAAAGAAAGCACGUGGGCUUGGUGAAUUGGAAUAUCACCUGGAGAAUGCACGUGAAUUCAGUGGUUGAAUGUCACUUUGGCGAAAAGGUCGCCUGAGAGAAUGCACGUGGCUCGGAGACUCGGUAUGUCGUCCUAAAGAAUGCACGUGGCUCGGUGACAGAGUUUGGCAUCUAAAAUGGCACAUGGCUCGGUGAUCUGAUGCAUCACUUUGGUAAGCGAGUACCUUAGAGAAUGCUCGUGGGCCCAGGCAUCUAAAAUGACACGUGGCUCGGUGAUCUGAUGCGUCACUUUGGUGAGCGAGUACCUUAGAGAAUGCACGUGGGUCCAGUAUUCGAAAUGGCAUCUAAAAGGGCACGUGGCUCGGUGAUCUGAUGCGUCACUUUGGUAAGCGAGUACCUUAGAGAAUGCACGUGGGCCCGGGCAUCGUAAAAAGGACACGUGGCUCGGUGGCUUGAUGUACCACCUUGGCGAAGAGGUCGCCUUAGAGAAUGCACGUGGGCCCGAGGUUUGAGGCAUGUGGCUCGGAGACUUGGGAGGUCGUCCUGGAGAAUGCACGUGGCCUAGCUUUCAGAUACUCCCCAGUGGGGAUUGAAUUGUAUGACAUGUAAUCGACUGGUUCGAUUUGUUUUGAGUAAAUGGGUGCCUAUUGUGAAUUGUACUGACUUGCAGGUGAGAUCUAAGGCCAAGGUAAGUCCUCCGCCCUGUGCGUGUUUAGGCAGACUAUAGUAUAAUGGUUUAUCUAAUCGGGCUUAGUGAGGUAGAACUCGCUGAGAUGUAGUCUCAUCCCAGUUUGGGGAAAACUAUUUCAGGACCCCACUGAAGAGCUGAGAAGGAGGAAUCCGAGAAGGAGGACUCGGAGGCGAAUCUUAAGGAGAAAGACUUUUGGAGGAAGAAGGCAAUCCUGAGAGGGGCCUUGAGUACGGCCCAGUUCGUCUAAGUUUCUGUCUUCUUUUGAGAUCUCCAUUUUGAUGUGAAUAGUUUUGAAGUGGUUUGUGUUUUGU